GACGAACGCUGGCGGCGUGCUUAACACAUGCAAGUCGAACGAUGAACCCGGAGCUUGCUCUGGGGGAUUAGUGGCGAACGGGUGAGUAACACGUGAGUAACCUGCCCUGGACUCUGGGAUAAGCGUUGGAAACGACGGCUAAUACCGGAUAGGACCUUGGAUCGCAUGAUCUGGGGUGGAAAGUUUUUUCGGUCGGGGAUGGACUCGCGGCCUAUCAGCUUGUUGGUGAGGUAAUGGCUCACCAAGGCGUCGACGGGUAGCCGGCCUGAGAGGGUGACCGGCCACACUGGGACUGAGACACGGCCCAGACUCCUACGGGAGGCAGCAGUGGGGAAUAUGGCACAAUGGGCGAAAGCCUGAUGCAGCAACGCCGCGUGCGGGAUGACGGCCUUCGGGUUGUAAACCGCUUUUAGUAGGGAAGAAGGGCUUCGGCUUGACGGUACCUGCAGAAAAAGGACCGGCUAACUACGUG
This 472-nucleotide ribosomal RNA is filed under the name uncultured bacterium. Its description in RNAcentral is "partial 16S ribosomal RNA". It matches the Rfam family "Bacterial small subunit ribosomal RNA", at positions 28 to 507 of the family's 1533-position model. The record is from RNAcentral.